GGGUCAGUAGGUUGGUCGUGCCACCGGUACGUACUGGUCUCACUGAUUCCUCCUUCCUGAUGAGCUGUAAUGCCAUUAAUUUGGUGUUGCAGGGAAUCUGGACUGUUACUUUGAAAAAUUAGAGUGUUUAAAGCAGGCUAACGCUUGAAUACAUUAGCAUGGAAUAAUGAAAUAGGACGUUCGAUCCUAUUUUGUUGGUUUCUAGGAUUGACGUAAUGAUUAAUA
RNAcentral lists this ribosomal RNA (225 nucleotides) under uncultured Glomeromycotina. Its description in RNAcentral is "partial small subunit ribosomal RNA". The stretch from base 40 to 225 matches the Rfam family "Eukaryotic small subunit ribosomal RNA", at positions 686 to 874 of the family's 1831-position model. Lineage: Eukaryota; Fungi; Glomeromycota. The record is from RNAcentral.